UCGAGUAUCUUCGGCAAUGGGGGCAACCCUGACCGAGCGAUGCCGCGUGGGCGAUGAAGGCCUUCGGGUUGUAAAGCCCUGUCGAGGGGGAGAAAAGCCCGAAAGGGUGUGAUCUAUCCCUGGAGGAAGCUCGGGCUAAGUUCGUGCCAGCAGCCGCGGUAAGACGAACCGAGCGAACGUUGUUCGGAAUCACUGGGCUUAAAGGGCGCGUAGGCGGGCCGCCGCGUCCGGGGUGAAAUCCUCCCGCUCAACGGGAGAACGGCCUCGGAUACGGGCGGUCUGGAGGGGGGUAGGGGCACGCGGAACUGUGGGUGGAGCGGUGAAAUGCGUUGAUAUCCACAGGAACUCCGGUGGCGAAGGCGGCGUGCUGGACCCCACCUGACGCUGAGGCGCGAAAGCCAGGGGAGCGAACGG
RNAcentral lists this ribosomal RNA (414 nucleotides) under uncultured bacterium. RNAcentral's name for it is "bacterial SSU rRNA". It matches the Rfam family "Bacterial small subunit ribosomal RNA", at positions 355 to 775 of the family's 1533-position model. The record is from RNAcentral.